UUUGCUGAAAUUUGUUAGAAAAGAAACUCUACUAAGUGUGGUUUUAGGAGAAAUUAUACUUGUUAAUUUUAAACUAUUAACUGAUUUGUAGUGAAUUUUUAAGUAGAGGGGGGUCUGCUGCCUAGGCAGCUCAAGUCGCCUUGCUUUGAAAACACAUAUCUCAGAUGUCUAACCUCGGAUCACCAUGAAAUUUAUUAGAUAGGAGCAACUCUAAGUCAACCUUAACCACAAAAAAAUUUCAAAUGCAUAGGAGCUAUGUGAGAAUGUUAGCAAAUUUUUGAACGACAAGGGAUCUGCUGCCCUCAACUUGACAUACUCUAAGUAAGUUUUCCUUCCUUAAUCACCCUCUAGUCUUAUCCUUUAGCACCUAAAUUGCUAUAUUAUCACUCAUUCGUUUUACUAUCAUUAAUUUAUUUUAUUUAAUAAUUUCAAAGAACUUUUAUCUCACUUUGGAAAUUAAUCUUAAAUUCUUAACUUUCCA
RNAcentral lists this long non-coding RNA (481 nucleotides) under Physcomitrium patens. RNAcentral's name for it is "long non-coding RNA (PPAT_LNC008187)". The record is from RNAcentral. Lineage: Eukaryota; Viridiplantae; Streptophyta; Bryopsida; Funariales; Funariaceae.